GUAGUCUGGUUAGUAUACUGGUUUGCCAAAUCAGUGACCCGGGUUCGAUUCCCGGGCGGCGCA
This 63-nucleotide transfer RNA is filed under the name Promethearchaeota archaeon. Its description in RNAcentral is "Candidatus Lokiarchaeota archaeon (permafrost metagenome) tRNA-Gly". It matches the Rfam family "tRNA", at positions 12 to 71 of the family's 71-position model. From Rfam's summary of the family: Transfer RNA (tRNA) molecules are approximately 80 nucleotides in length. Their secondary structure includes four short double-helical elements and three loops (D, anti-codon, and T loops). Further hydrogen bonds mediate the characteristic L-shaped molecular structure. tRNAs have two regions of fundamental functional importance: the anti-codon, which is responsible for specific mRNA codon recognition, and the 3' end, to which the tRNAs corresponding amino acid is attached (by aminoacyl-tRNA synthetases). tRNAs cope with the degeneracy of the genetic code in two manners: having more than one tRNA (with a specific anti-codon) for a particular amino acid; and 'wobble' base-pairing, i.e. permitting non-standard base-pairing at the 3rd anti-codon position. Lineage: Archaea; Promethearchaeati; Promethearchaeota. The record is from RNAcentral.